GGAAGUCAUCCGGCCGGAUCAGGAGCCUGUCUCGAAAACAGGUGGUGGGUUUCCCACUUGUGGGUUCGAGUCCCACGGCUUCCG
Molecule: transfer RNA, 84 nt
Filed under: Planctomycetaceae bacterium
Lineage: Bacteria; Pseudomonadati; Planctomycetota; Planctomycetia; Planctomycetales; Planctomycetaceae
Description: tRNA-Ser
Source: RNAcentral